Molecule: transfer RNA, 69 nt
Filed under: Camelus bactrianus (Bactrian camel)
Lineage: Eukaryota; Metazoa; Chordata; Mammalia; Artiodactyla; Camelidae
Also listed under: 2 other names
Rfam family: tRNA
About the family: Transfer RNA (tRNA) molecules are approximately 80 nucleotides in length.
Source: Rfam by way of RNAcentral
GGUGGUGUAGCUCAGUGGUAGGGUGCUUAGUAAUGUACAAGGUCCUGAGUUCGAUCCCCAGUACCUCCA